Molecule: unclassified non-coding RNA, 220 nt
Filed under: plant metagenome
Description: partial contains small subunit ribosomal RNA, internal transcribed spacer 1, and 5.8S ribosomal RNA
Source: RNAcentral
UUUCCGUAGGUGAACCUGCGGAAGGAUCGUUACAGAGUUCAUGCCCUCACGGGUAGAUCUCCCACCCUUGAAUAUUUAUACCUCAGUUGCUUUGGCAGGCCGUGGAAACACCAUGGGCUCCGGCUUAUGCGUGCCUGCCAGAGGAAACAAACUCUGUUUUUAGUGAUGUCUGAGUGCUAUAUAAUAGUUAAAACUUUCAACAACGGAUCUCUUGGUUCUG